GGAUGCGAUCAUACCAGCACUAAAGCACCGGAUCCCAUCAGAACUCUGUAGUUAAGCGUGAUUGGGCGAGAGUAGUACUAGGAUGGGUGACCUCCUGGGAAGUCCUCGUGUUGCAUUCC
Molecule: ribosomal RNA, 119 nt
Filed under: Aegilops tauschii subsp. strangulata
Lineage: Eukaryota; Viridiplantae; Streptophyta; Magnoliopsida; Poales; Poaceae
Source: RNAcentral